This 686-nucleotide long non-coding RNA is filed under the name Rhinopithecus bieti (black snub-nosed monkey). RNAcentral describes it as "lncRNA (ENSRBIG00000046147.1)". The record is from RNAcentral. Lineage: Eukaryota; Metazoa; Chordata; Mammalia; Primates; Cercopithecidae.
AUGGAACUGUUACCAUUUCAUGCUGAUGUGGAGGUUGGCCAGAUUAUAGAAAUCCCCAUUGCAAUGUAUCACAUAAAUAAAGAGACCAAAGAAGCCAUGGCAUUCACAGACUGCUCUCAUUUAUCCUUGGAUCUGAACAUGGAUAAACAAGGAGUCUUUACUCUUCUCAAAGAAGGUAUUCAAAGACCUGGACCAAUGCAUUGUUCCAGUACACAUAUUGCAGCUAAAUCUCUCGGCCAUACUCUGGUAACAGUAAGUGUGAGUGAAUGUGACAAGUACUUGGAGAGCAGUGCUACAUUUGCUGCUUAUGAACCCCUAAAGGCUCUCACAUUCCGAAUUGGAAACCAUCCAGGUGUCCUGAACCCUAGUCCAGCUGUAGAGGUUUUGCAGGUUCGCUUCAUAUGUGCCCACCCUGCCAGUAUGUCAGUAACUCCAGUAUACAAGGUGCGAGCUGGUGCCCAGCCAUGUCCCCUGCCACAGCACAACAAACAGCUGGUAAGUACAGAGUAUGUUUCCAACUAAGUUGGCACUUUUAUCUUCCAUGCUUUAGAGAUAGUCUGGAAUUCUUUGGGGUAUAUAUCCAGAAGUGGAAUUGGCAGAUCAUAUGGUAAUUCUAUUUUUAAUUUUUUGAGGAACCACCAUACAGUUUUCCACAGCAGCUGUACUAUCUUACAUUCUUACCAACA